Molecule: ribosomal RNA, 431 nt
Filed under: uncultured bacterium
Lineage: Bacteria
Description: partial 16S ribosomal RNA
Rfam family: Bacterial small subunit ribosomal RNA
Source: RNAcentral
AACGAACGCUGGCGGCAGGCUUAACACAUGCCAGUCGAGCGCCCCGCAAGGGGAGCGGCAGACGGGUGAGUAACGCGUGGGAACGUACCUUUUGGUUCGGAACAACUCCGGGAAACUGGAGCUAAUACCGGAUAAGCCCUAACGGGGAAAGAUUUAUCGCCGAAAGAUCGGCCCGCGUCUGAUUAGCUAGUUGGUGAGGUAACGGCUCACCAAGGCGACGAUCAGUAGCUGGUCUGUGAGGAUGAUCAGCCACACUGGGACUGAGACACGGCCCAGACUCCUACGGGAGGCAGCAGUGGGGAAUAUUGGACAAUGGGCGCAAGCCUGAUCCAGCCAUGCCGCGUGAGUGAUGAAGGCCUUAGGGUUGUAUAGCUCUUUUGUCCGGGAAGAUAAUGACUGUACCGGAAGAAUAAGCCCCGGCUAACUUCGUG